CACGAAGGGGGCUAGCGUUGCUCGGAAUCACUGGGCGUAAAGCGCACGUAGGCGGACUCUUAAGUCAGGGGUGAAAUCCUGGAGCUCAACUCCAGAACUGCCUUUGAUACUGGGAGUCUUGAGUUCGGGAGAGGUGAGUGGAACUGCGAGUGUAGAGGUGAAAUUCGUAGAUAUUCGCAAGAACACCAGUGGCGAAGGCGGCUCACUGGCCCGAUACUGACGCUGAGGUGCGAAAGCGUGGGGAGCAAACAGG
Molecule: ribosomal RNA, 253 nt
Filed under: uncultured bacterium
Lineage: Bacteria
Description: partial 16S ribosomal RNA
Rfam family: Bacterial small subunit ribosomal RNA
Source: RNAcentral